GUGCACUUGUUUACAUUGUUCAUACAUUACUCAUACACAUACCAAGCAUUAUAAGCAAUCAAAUCACAUAGGGUAUACAUAAAAUGACAUGUGAUCAUGGUAUGAUGCUUAUGAGUGAGUACGAUGAUGCUCAUGUUGAUGCCAUGCUCAAGCUUAAAAUGCAAGGCUAACACUAUAAGUGUUACAGCCCUCCCCCCUUAUGAUGAGGACAUCGCCACGCUGGAUACGUUGACAUCAUCGUCUUUUCCGAGUUGCAAUUCAUCUCCAACUAAGCUACCACGUCACUCUUAGAUUAAGCAAACACGUCGUCAGUAUUUUGAUCAUAACUUCUUCAUACGACAUCGAAAGAGGGUGAUCUUGGACUUGUUGGAAAGGGAACAACGACGCCGUCGUUUUGGAUCAGGUCCCAGCUCCAGAUCCUUCGUGGAUUAAUUGUUAAGUCCACAACAAGGUUCUGCGUCACCUAUUUUCGGCCAAGUUGCUGAAUUUCUGUAGACCACAUCUGACCUCAGUUGCAGUUGCCAAUUUUUGUGGUUACAUCUUUUGUGAUCCUUGUUCAGAGAAAAAUAUAAAAAAAUAGUGAAAAAAUAUAAAAUCUUGAUUCCUACUAGUGUCUGUUGGGAAAAUCCAGGAAAAAUCAGGAUAAAAGAAAAAUCUGCUCUAUUUCUUGUUUGCUGAGUUCCUUCCAUCAUACUUUGUUUCAUCUUGUUGCGCU
RNAcentral lists this long non-coding RNA (715 nucleotides) under Sorghum bicolor (sorghum). RNAcentral's name for it is "long non-coding RNA (SBIC_LNC012029)". The record is from RNAcentral. Lineage: Eukaryota; Viridiplantae; Streptophyta; Magnoliopsida; Poales; Poaceae.